Molecule: ribosomal RNA, 468 nt
Filed under: uncultured bacterium
Lineage: Bacteria
Description: partial 16S ribosomal RNA
Rfam family: Bacterial small subunit ribosomal RNA
Source: RNAcentral
GACGAACGCUGGCGGCGUGCUUAACACAUGCAAGUCGAACGGAAAGGCCCUGCUUUUGUGGGGUGCUCGAGUGGCGAACGGGUGAGUAACACGUGAGUAAUCUGCCCUUGACUUUGGGAUAACUUCAGGAAACUGGGGCUAAUACCGGAUAGGAGCUCCUGCUGCAUGGUGGGGGUUGGAAAGUUUCGGCGGUUGGGGAUGGACUCGCGGCUUAUCAGCUUGUUGGUGGGGUAGUGGCUUACCAAGGCUUUGACGGGUAGCCGGCCUGAGAGGGUGACCGGCCACAUUGGGACUGAGAUACGGCCCAGACUCCUACGGGAGGCAGCAGUGGGGAAUAUUGCACAAUGGGCGGAAGCCUGAUGCAGCAACGCCGCGUGCGGGAUGACGGCCUUCGGGUUGUAAACCGCUUUCGCCUGUGACGAAGCGUGAGUGACGGUAAUAGGUAAAGAAGCACCGGCUAACUACGUG